CAGAGUACUCUACUGAUUAAAGGGUGCUUUCGCCGAGACCAAACAAGUCAAAGAAAGGAAGUUAUGUGUGUAUGUGCUCAUGAUGAUCCAUCAUAAACUUUGAGCAAAUUGCAGUUCUGAAAAAUUCCAAAUUAUACUUUGAGAGAGCCUUCCAACCUCAAUCUACACAUCUGAUGAUGUAUAAUUUUCCCAAAGAUUAAUUUAAGAGCUUUAAGCGCCGCCGCCCUCCAAUUGGAUGGCCCAAGCCUUUGUAUCUUUCUAACAUCCAUAUAAUUAGUUACCACAAUAGUCCAACAAAUUCAAUCAUCUCUCUCUCAUAGUAUAAUUAGUCCAACAAGAAUAUCCACAUACAUAUUAUAUAAGAGAGAUUAUAUAUGAAAGAACUCCAUACAUACUUACUGGCUGAGAGAUGAUGAGGCUUCCCGCAGCGUCCCUCGUCACCGCCGCAUGUGCUCCAGAAAACCCACCAGCGAUAAUAAUUGUGAAAUGAAUGGGAGUAUGAUAGUUCACAAGGCCCCAAACCUUCCGUAGAAAAAGGAGGGGAGGGAGAAGUUUGAGCUUCCAUUAUUGCCAGUUGUAGUUUUGUACAGGCGAAAGCUGCUAAUCUUCUGGAUCGAUCCUGAUCCCCGAUUCUCAGAUUCUUACUACUGCAUCUAUUUUAUUUAUCUUCUGUUUAGGAAACUAAUACUAUAUAUAUAUAUAUAUAUAUAUAUAUAUAUAUAUAUAUAUACACGCACACACACACUCGAAGACUUCAAAGUUCAAAGUCAAUGGUCGACGUGAGAAAAGGGCCUAACGAGGAAGCAAACAACAGCAAGGAAAUUGAAGCAUAAGAAUUCAAAUAGUAAUUUUUAUUUUUUUUUAAUAAAAAUUGAAGCAUAAGAAUUGAUCAAUAUCAAUAGCAAAUGCUUGAAAUUGUUACUAUAUGCUAUUUGUUAUCUUCUGAUGACCAAUUAUUUUUAGUAAGAAAGUUAUUUGCCCACAAAAGGGAAUUUUUUAACACAUUAUUAUUAUUAUUGAAGUUGAUACACAGAAUUAGGAUUAGAAGACGAGGAGAAAAGAUGUAAAAAUAAUAAGGAAAAAGGAGGAGAAGAAGAAAGAACAAUAAUGGAAAAAAGAGAUUAUUAGACACUAUCCUUAUAAUGAGGGCAUUUUUAUCUUUUUGCUUUUGCACAUAAACUUGGCUUUAGAGAGCAAUUUAUAGGUUUUGAGAAAAGGACCGGCUAGAAGAAUUAAAAAACAAAAGCGAAAUAACAUGGAAGCAAGCAAAAGGCAAAAGCCAGAACCAAGAUGGUACAUGUGUAACCAAUAUGAAGUGGUCCCAAUUGUUCAAUAGGUUCUAAAUGGGUACUCUGUUAUGCUUAAAUGUCUUAUAUCCCUACAAUAACAAGCACUUUUUGGACGAAAAUGCUUUUCCAACUAUCCCUUGUCCCUUCCGAACAAAAUUCGAACCUUAAUAUUUCUCCGGAAGUUGUCCUUCUGUAUUAUGUUGAAUUAAGGCGGCAUAGUUGAAUAUAUUAAUAAGAUUUUAUAUUUUUCUGUUUUUAUGAUUCAAAUUAUUAAGUAUUAAUCUUCAAAGAGUUUAAGUUGACAAAGGGCUUAAAUUAAAACUUUUGAAAUAGUACACUUGGCAGACUUUAAAGUUAUAAGUCAAUGGUUGGAAACAUGAAAGUACUGACUCAAAAGAAUACAACAAAAGCAACAGCCAAUACAAAAUGGCCCAAUCCCCUGAACAGACCAUUUCUUAUACACACCAGUCCAGAACUUUUUUUUUUUUUUUCACACUUUUCCUCCUCCUUCGUUUUUUCCCUUCUUUCUCUUGUACGCACCUUGACCGGACCACCCAAAUACUGAUUUAACUACUGUUCCGGACCGUGCAGCCCAACACUUACCCAAUCCUCCAUUUUCUUUGGACAACUCAUGUCCCGAAUACCCUUUAACAAAUAUAUUGUUGGCUUCCUUAGAAAAUGAAUAUUAAGCGUCAAGGCCCACAAUAAAAUUAUAAAAUAGAAGUCUUAAACUUUGACGCUGAAAUUUUUGAGUUGAUGAACUGAUGAAAGUUUUGUUUGUUUGAUAAUUAAAUUGAUUUUUUUUUUUUUGGUGUAAGUGAGAGGGUUCCAUCCGAGGUCUCUCAUUGACACUCAUUUCUUUCAAAUCAUCUAAUCCAUCUCUUCCUGCUCCUCUUCAAAUUAACUUGAUUUAAGUCUAACCCGUGAUGGUGACUAGAAUCGAACCAAUCCAAAUAAAUUCAAAACUUGAUUUAGCCACUGAAUUGAAAUAUUUCAAUUUGAAAUGUUGUUGUUGUUGUUGUUGUUGUUAGUAUUAUUAUUAUUAUUAUUAUUCUAAAAUCAUUAAUACUGUUGUAUUGUAAAUAUUGAGCUAACCUUGUAAACCAUAUUACCUUGGAUAAAUAUGUAAAGUACAGCAUUUUGUGUGUAAAAAUCAACUAACUUUGGUCAUGUAGUACAGUAAUAUGAGACAUUAAUACGAAAAGAUUAUCAUUAUAAGAACGAAUUGCUUCUUGCCAUAACUACGCCCCAUGCUACGACUUGGCAGCUACAGUGAGCAGGUUGCAUUUGUUUUGAUGCCUUGAAACGUAAAAUGAAGGGUUGUAAGGAUGUAAGGAUGAAUUAUUUCUUGGGCUUCAAAUUUUCUGCCAGGAAGCCCAGUCUCUUGGCAUGGGAAAAAAAAAAAAAGAGAAAAUGUGUCCAACAAUUUUAGCAUUGUUUUUUUCACACGUACAUGCAUUUUUAAAUGUAGACUUAUUUAAAAAUAAAUAAUAUUGAAAUUUAUAUUUGAGUUUUGUUAUGAAAGUUGACAUAUUAAUUAUUUUUGUUUCGUCUCUGAAAUUGUUACGUCCCUUAGUAUAUAUCAAAUUUUUUGUUAACUGUUGCCUACAACAAUUGCUUGCUAUUUUUUUUUUAUUGAGGAAUAGAUUUCACAUUUUGGUGAAAAAAUUCCCCUGGAUAAAGUGGUUGAAUAACUAAAAAUGAUUUGGGCCUAACAAAAGAUGUUUAGUAUGUUGCCUGACAAAAAUUUCCCCUAGAUAUACAUAUAUACACAAAUGCACGCAUGCUAGUCCACACACAUGCGUGGCGCGCGCGCGCACACACACACAUAUAUAUAUAUAUAUAUAUAUAUUUAGAGUUUAUACAGCUCCCAACUCUCUGUUCCUUUUUUGCUACCGAAUUUUCUCAUCACCAAACCCAGCUGCAAGAAGUCUCAACAUUCUUGCGCAGCUUGUUUUGUUCUCACUUGAUCCUUGCUGGGCUCUGAGGCUUUGAAUGUUAGUAUAUCUCCGGAAGUAGUCCAAGUUUCAAUAUCAUCAUACUUCAGUUUAUAUAUUUUACUCACCUCGUACAAUACUUCUUCAAUUUUAGCAAUUUCUCCAUCUUGACCUGUAGAUGAAUGACUUAAAAGUAUUAGCAUGGAAUGAAUAGCCUAAAGCUUCAGCCAAGAUUAUGCAGUAUAAAAGGAGAAAAAAAAAAAUACUUGAGAUACUCACAUGAACUUGCUUCCGCGACUCUUACACAAGUAGUUGUCAGAUUCACCUUCUGUAGUAGAUUUUGGCAAACACAUUAUAUAUGUACCGUAAAUAAAUUAAAGUAUUAUUUACAAGUUUCAAAGUGUUUGCUUUGGCUUUUAAAGACUGUUUAACAACAACGGAUUUGCACCCACACCAAAAAAAGAAAAAAAAAACCAAUAAGACAGGCUCUUUGUAUGUUUACUCAACUAAUUUUGGUAUAGAAGUUCUGAAAAGCCAAAACCUCCUUCAAAUGCCAUAGAUUUUUUUAGAAUCAACUUGUUUCGCUUAAAAAAUAACUUAAAAAGAGAACAUUAAUAUUGGGGUGAUUGUUUUCACAGUUAAAAGCAAUUUGGAAAAUUAGUUGUUGAUAGAUUGCAAAGGAGACCUUCCAUUAGAUUAAUUUAUAAAAAGCACCCCUACUAUUGCCACCUAACAACUGGAAACCACGAUCUCUCUCCAAAUUUGUAAAGGACAUGGUGAUAUACAAAAUUCACGAUAAGCAUCUUCCCAAUUCUAAGUUAGAUUUAUCACGAAAUUCUUAUUUUAAGUGAGUUCACUAAAAAUUUAAAAUCAUUAAUGUUAUGCUACCACAAAUCUUGCACUAUAUUAUGGUCGGUGGUGGAGGAGCAAUUACCCGAAAGAGAAACACAAACCAAAUGACGAAUUAGAGUCAGAUUGGCCAAACUUGUGUAAUCCUUGAAUUUGUCAAAUUGUCAAUUAAUGACGAAUUAGAGUCAAAUCGAAGCAUAAGAAGUGAUCAAUAUCAAUAGAAAAUACUUGAAUUUGUUAAUAUUAAUUACUAUCUUGUGUAAUCCUGCAAGACGCCAACUGCUCCGGACGCUUCGUCCAAGCCCUUUUGAUUGCCCGGACAACUCCAAGUUGCCUACCAAAACUAAUAUAGGAUUUUGGGCUUCAUCCAUCCGCUAAAGACGAACUAAGCGUCAAAAGAAGAUUAGCAUCAUUCACUCUUUAUUUUAUUGUUUUGAAUUUUUAAAAAAAUACAAGUUGGAUAAUGGGUACUUAAGGAAAGACAACCAACCCAUCUAAUAAAUAAUUUGAGUUUUCUUAAUCCAACCGAUCAAGAUCCAUCAUCGUUGAAAAUCCAUACUUUUUAAUUUUUAUUUCACUUUUUUUUUUCUGAAAAUCCCUCUCAAUGAAUGUUCAUUGGCACUUCUUAGAUAAAUCAAACAUUUUCUUUAUUAGUUCUGUGUAUUAGCAAUAAGUUUUUUUCUAAUGUUUUUUGCUUGUCUUUAUCAGAAUUUGCAUGACAUAUGUCGGUCAUACUUAUGUUAUAGUCAAAAAUAGAAGAUAAGGGAAAUUUUUCUUGGUUUUUCUUUUCUUUUUGUUUUUGUUUAAAGAAGAGGAUUCGUGAACCUAAAAUGGAUCUGACCAAUAUUUUUUACCUUCUCUUAAGUAAUGGCCAUUCACUCUUUGAAUUUGCAUAGUGGUUGCAAGUUUUUUAUAUUCUACUCGGGUUCAAAUCCUCUUCCUCAUGUUUCUUUUCAAAAUAUUCAAUUAAUCUUUCUAACAUUGUGAGUAUAAAAUAUAUACAUAUGUAUAUGUGUGUGUAUGUAUGUAUAUAUGUAUAUAUGUAUGUAUGCAUGUACAUAUGUAUAUAUAUAUGUAUGUAUGUAUAUAACAUUGAAAACUGAGUUUCACAGGUUAAAGGGCGAAGAAAUGAAAAACUAAUGAGAAGUGAAAACACUAUUAUUUUUAAAGUUUUAAUGAGAUGUGAAAACACUAUAUUUUUAAUUACCCAUACUACUUCGUUUUUGCUUAAUUAGGAGUUAGAACAAAAAGAACAAAGUAGAUGGCAUAAUCUGAUUGUUCUCAGUUAGAAUUAAUCAAAUACAAAAGUUAGUUUAAUUCAAUGUGACUUAAUUAUUUUUAUAGGAAAAGUGUAUCAUAAUGACCAGACACAGCCGCAUUCGUUUUGCGCACCAUUAGGUUACAAAUAACCACUUUUUGAGCAUGAAAAGUCGUCAAAACAUAUCUUCAAAAAAUUUGACUAUUACAAGAUCUGCUUCACCAAGAAAGCCCGAGACCUAUGUGAUCCAGACCAAAUCCAAAUCUGAAUGUAUAACUGGAAAAACUUGGACCUCUCUGGACAUGAUCUAACCAUGGAUCAGGCUCGGGUCAAGCCAAGACCUGGCACCAAAUCGUAGUUCAUCUUUUUUUUUUUUUCUACUCAGGAGGUAUCCGGGUUUCGGGUACGCCGGAUCCGACUAAUCCUCCUGAGAUCCGAGAGGAGAGGCCCCAUCCCCUCGAACCGGUAACCACUGGGAAUCGAUCCCUGGUGGGGGAGAAUGGACAACAGUUCCUAAGGAGGCUGUGACCAACCAAAUCGUAAUUCAUCACUUUGUUUCGUUUGUCCAAAAUCCAUUUGCAUAUUUCAAAUCUAAUUAGUGUAUCUUUCAAAACUAAUUUGAGCAAUUCCAUGAUGCUAUACAUCUGCGGUUUAUCAACCCUCAACUUGUUUGACAUUUCCAGUGAAAUAGAAAAGUGAUGAAUUAGCUGAUUUGAACUUUCAAUAACCAUCUUUCUAAGGACAAAUUUAGCAAUGUUUAUGGCCAGUGUGGGAGUCAAGAAUUUAAUGCAGGGUGGCUAUUGACAUUCAUUAUAAAGUCUAGAAAUCAUUUGCUUUGGUUUUUCUCAAUUUUACAAUAGAACAAAAGAAAUUCAUUGCAUUUAAUCGUACGAAAACCAAGAAAAGAAUUAAAUUUAAAUAAUUUAAGAGCAUGCGAUAACUACUAUCCAAAAAUAAUGGUUUAAUUGAUGGCUGAUUUGGCACAUCGAGUCAAGCAUGAGGGGAGGUUUUAGUGGCUAAUCCGAAUCAUUAUCCUUUUAAGUUUUAUACUCAUUUCUUGGUCGUUCCAAGACGCAAAAAGGGAGCUUUUUAAUCCAUGCAACUUAUGGGACAACCUAUAAGCUGCACAAUGACCACAGUAAAGCUUAGUUCAUCCUGAUACUUAAUUUUAAAACUUCCAAGGGAUAGAUUGAAUCGUUGUGCAAUGUUCUUCUCCAGAUCAAUUUUACGGGCAGAAGAUGGAAGUUCAAAUUUUAUCUUGUCCUCCUGAUAUUUUGCCUUGAUCACCCACAUGUUGCUAUCAUCUUCUAGCCUUGUUGCAUCUAACUGAUGGUGUUCUUCAAUAUUUUCAGUAGCGGGUUGAACAACUUUUUGUUUAGCAAAGACUUGGUUAACCUUUCUUUCUUUACGAGGGGGCCAUCUGCGAAUACCAUCCUCCCUACAUAUACGCUUCAAUGUAGAUCGACUGACUGCAAAUUUUAGAAUGGAAAACUUCAGUGAAGGAACAAGCCUAUACAAUGUGUAAACUAGAUAUUUCCAAACAGAUCCAGAUUAAAUCAACAUGCAUUAACCAACAUUUGAACUCAAUUCUGAUCUAGAGAAAUGCGACAGUUAAGAAUUACCUCCAAUAUUUUUUGCAGCAUCUUCAAGUUUCCGCAUAGAAUUUUGUUCAAGAACCUCACGAGUAAUUCCAAGGUCGCUUUUUAAAGUACAACUAGGCUCUUGCAUUUUUAAAUUAGUCACUUCAUUGCCACUCUGUUCUAUAAUAGCAUCAUCUCUUCAGGAUCCUCCACAAUUGGUUCAUCAUGUGCUAUGCUGACCAUGUUUUGCACGAGCUCCUGUCCAGUUGUAGAUCUGACAAUUCCAUUUUGCUGUUCAUAAAUACCAUCCAUAGAAUUGUGCGCAACAUCAACUCCUGCAAGAUUUAAUUCUUGAUAUGAUAUGUUGACAAAGCCCUGUGCGCGCUCUGGUCUAGGUGGAGAUCCAACAAUCACACCCUGCUGUCCAUGGACACCAUUUAUAUAAGCAUUUGUAGUAUCAACUUGCUGAGAUGAGAAAUCAAGUUGCAUCAUUCCUUCUCCUCCAUGUACUUCUCUAAGCCUAGGUGUAGAUUCAACACCAGUAGUAUUGCAGAUUUCAAAAGAAUCAAAUUCAUCCUCUGGAGAGACCUUUAUAACCUCAACAGUCAAUUUCUGCCCCAAUUCUUGUCCUGAAGCAAUCUUAAAAGAAUUUUGGAGACGUUCUUUCAAUGUCUCCAUUAGGCUGUUCAGCAAUGUCCUAGGAUCCCCAUAGUCUGCUUCAUCUUCCCCAUAGUCUGCUUCAUCUUCAUCUUCUUCAUACGUAGGUAGAAAGAACUCCAGUACAUAAAUGCAAUUGUUCGAGCAAGAGCUCUGCAAACAAACUGCAAAACAGGAAGAGUACCCAAGGGAUCGUGCCUUGGGUACCAGCGGGUAGUCUGUUAUGCUUAAUUGUCUUAUAUCCCUACAAAAGCAUGCACUUUUGGAUGAGAAUGCUCUCCCAACUACCCCUUGUCCCUUCCGAAUAAAAUCUACGCUACCAUGAGAACUUAAUAUUUCUCCAGAAAUAGUCCAAGUUUUAGUAACACCAUAACCCAGUCCACAUAUUGCAGUCACCUCGCUCAAUGCUUCUUCAAUUAUAGCAAUAUCUCCACGUUGACCUGAAGAGGAAUGGCUUAAAAAUAUUAGCAUGGAAUGAAUAGUCUAAAGCUUCAGCCAAGAUUAUGCAGUAUAAAAGGAGGAAAAAAAAAUACUUAGAGGUACUCACAUGAACUUGCUCCUGCGAAGAGGCUUACGCGAGUAGUAGUCAGAUUCACCUUGCGUAGUAGAUUCUGGCAAACAUAUUAGCCAUGAGCCAUAAUUAAAUUAAAGUGUUAUUUACAAGUUUAUAAAUUAAAGUGUUAUUUACAAGUUUCUAAGUGUUUGCUUUGACAACAACGGAUUUGCCCCCAUAAAAAAAAUAAUAAGACAGGCUCUUUGUAUGCUUACUCAACUAAUUUUGGUAUAGAAGUUUCAAAAAGCACAAAACCUCCUUCAAACCCUAUACAAUUUUAUAAUCAACUUCUUUUGCUUAAAAAAUAACUUAAAAAGAGAACAUUAAUAUUAGGGUGGCAGUCACCAUAGGUUUCAUAGUGACAAGCAAUUGAAAAAUUAGUUGUUGAGACAUUGCAAAAGAGACCUCCCAUUAGAUUAAUUUAUAAAAAGCACCCCUCCUAUUGCCACCUAACAACUGGAAACCCAUGACCUCUGGAAACCAUGAUCUAUCCCCAAAUUUGUAAAGGACAUGGAGAUAUACAAAAUUCAUGCCAAGCAUCCCCUAUUCAAGUUAGAUUUAUCGCGAAAUUCUUAUUAAGUGCCAAUGCUACCACAAAUUUUGCACUAUAUAACACACAAGGAGACAAUGGUUGGUUAUGUUAUAAAUUAACCCCUAUAUCCAUUACCUAGUUCAAAUAAUAAAUUAAUUAGUUAUCUUUAUAUCAGUGAUCACAGUAAGUAUGCUCUGAAGUGACCAUAAAGUCGAGGCAUGUAGUAAUUAUCCGAAAGAGAAACACAAAUGAAAUGAUGUCAACUAGAAUCAGAUUGGCUCUUUAAUUUUUUUUUUAAUUUUUGAUAACAGAUGCUAAUUAUUUACGACCUGGGAUUCGUCCUCUAAGCUCCUCUGUUUUUUUAUAUAUAUAAAAGGGAGGGAGUCUGCACCCAUUUCAUAUAUAUUACCUAAUUUAUUGAUAAAAAUUAUACUAAUAAUUAUAUAACUCAUAAAUGAUAAACAACACCACCCCCGGGUCCUUGUCAGCAAUAGGAAAGAAGUAAUUAAGCAACUUGAAAAGAGAAAAGUCGAACCUGAAGCUUCUCCAGAACCCCAUGUCGAGGUAUGAAGCUAAAAACAGAUGCAAUUUCCAGUACACCAAUGGGGAGGUGCUGAGUAGGAUGAUGAUAGAUUGGCAACGCCCAGUAUUCCCGGACACGGCCGACCGCAUAAUCACGUUGAGGAUACUCUCUAGGAGUGUAAUGGCCCACAUCCUCUGUAAACUCAGGCAACCCACUGCGGAACACCCGACCAGGGGACCAAUCUCAUGAUCAUCAUCAUCUUCAUCGACGGGUAAUAAGUACUCCAAACAGUGCUUCCUAUAUUCACGUAGUUUCUUGAGGGCUUGACCAUCGAAGCCGUAGUAAAGGAGAGCAAAAGGCUGGUCAGGAGUUGUCAAAUACGUUUUGUCCUCAUUCUUCACCAAGCCCCAAAACUGAACUAGACACCGAAGGUAUAUUAUUUGUUUAAGAUGUAAAAAACGUGUGAUCCACUCCUUAAUCACGGCACCGUCAGCAGCUGCAAUAGGAAAAUCAGUAAUAAAAAAUAUUAAAGGGUGCUUGCCAGUAUAUACUAUUGUACCAUUUAUUUAUUUAUUUAUUAAUUGCAGAGUACUCUACUGAUGGACCAAACAAGUCAAAGAAAGGAAGUUAUGUACUCAUGAGUCAUGAUGAUCCAUCAUAAACUUUGAGCAAAUUGCAGUUUUGAAAAAUUCCAAAUUAUACUUUGACAGAGCCUUCCAACCUCAAUCUACACAUCUGAUGAUGUAUCCAACCUGAACCUAUAUGAAGACCUCUAAGCGCCGCCGCCCCCGUUGCACCUUCCAAUUGGAUGGCCCAAGCCUUUGUAUCUUUCUAACAUCCAUAUAACCGUUUAAUUUCUCAUCAAACUAAUUUUUUUUCUAGAAAUUUUUUCUGUUCUAAAUUGUUCAUGCAAAUUUAUUCCCCGGGAGUUUUAUCAGAGUCAGACUAAAUAUAGCUAUGACAAAUUUAAUUGCCAUAAAUAGCUCAACAAAAAUAUCCACAAAUACAUACAUACAUAUUAUAUAUAUAUAUAUAUAUAUAUAUAAGAGAGAUUAUAUAUGAAAGAACUCCAUACUUACUUACUGGCUGAGAGAUGAUGAGGCUUCCCGCAGCGUCCUUCGUCAUUGCCGCAUGCCCAAGCCUUUGCACAUAUAUCUAUCUAUAUACACACACACACACACUCGAAGACUUCAAAGUCAAUGGUCGACGUGAGAAAAGGGACUAACAGGCAGAGGUACAAACAAGCGAAAUGACGAGGAACCAAACAACAGCGACCAAGGGUUCAAUAGGUUCAAAAAGCUCAAAUUGUUCACACGGUUUCAACAGAUCGUGAAGAAGUUAGCUGUCGUUUAUGGGUAAAGAUUAAUCUCUUGCACUUUCACCUAAUCAGAUGCUGUACAGAUCGAGGAACGAAGUUGAUGCUCAUCAGGGCCCAUGCGUCACUAGCAAGUUGUGUCAUUUUCUUAUAAUUAACUAGGAUGGGAUAAAGGACGGAGAUGCCCAGUUUAGUCAAAUAAUUUGUACUAAUUCAAAAUGGAUCAUUAAUGAAUUAAAUUUGUUUGUUUUUGAUGAAAUUUAGUUACAGAUAAACCAAAAUAAAAUAUUGAACCAAAAUUAGAGCAAACUUUCAUCUAAAUAUGUAAUCAUGUAAACAAAAAAAUAGUAAGUGUUAUGCUUGUUAAAGAACCACAACAUUAGAGGACUUCAUCCAGGUUACAAUCUACACUUGCAAUUUCAAGGGUAGGUUACAUUACGGUUUAAUUAAGAUAUCCAUUAAUUUCCGAAUGAUGUACCUACUCAAAACUUAUAAGCGUCAUCAGGGGUUAGAUUUUGCUAUCUUUCCAUGCUCUCAGAUCAUUUUCAACAUUAGGAAAAAAAAAAAAAAAGAGUGAAGGAGGGGAGUUAACAUGGCUGUAUGCAGGAAAAUGCAAAAUAGUAAGAGCCAAAGUGAGCAAGAAAAAAAAAACAUGAAAUUGACUUUAUAUUAUUGGUAGAAACAAGAUACUUCAUAAGUUUCCUGACUUAUCAACCUCCAAAUUGCAUACAACAAAUCUUAAAUCUGAAUAGCAUCUACCAUACUCAUGGCUAACUAAGUAGUAUGGCUGAUAUCAAAGCACGUACAUAAAUAAGAUAAUAUCACAUUUGUGAAUCACUAUAGCUGGGGACUUGCUGAAAAGAAGUAAUAAUAAUCAGGAAUUUACCGAGAAUCCGGCCAAGCAGAUUUAUUGAAACGUUUGACAGCAAUCCAAGAGCCAUCAUCUUCAAGCUGCCAAUUGUAGACAACAUUUGGAGCUUUCUCUACAUGUUCUGAUAAAAAGUUUUCAACUGAGAAUCCUGAAGUUGCCACCUUCAACUCAUCUAAACUGCAUUCUUUAAAUGCUGGCAGUUUCAUCCUUCAUUUUCUCCACAUUUCUCUGAAACCCCAGAAGGAAAAACAUCAGAAAAAGGGGAACAAAGAUUACAUUUUUAUACAUUUAACAGAGUUUUAAGAAUUACCAAGAUCAGAGGAAUAAGGGACGUUGGAUUUGAGGUUGGAAAGCCACCAGCAAAAGCCUAAUUUAGAGCAGCGAGCUCCCAUUGGGAUGAAGACGAAUAAUUCUGAAAAACAAAACCGGCAAUCAGGUCAAGAAAACACGCAGAGAAAAAUAUCACAAAUGGAUAGCACAAAUCAUAGGGACAUAAAAUACAUGUAACCAACCAAGUCAAUUCAAGCGCCAUUGCAGAAAAAAACCUGUAAAAAAAAAAGGCUUGCAAAGAGGUUAAAUACGAUCACGGGGACAAAACACGAGAAGCAAAGUACAAGGGUCAGAGUUAACCAAAAAAGUGGGAAGUAUCGGACUAACUCAGAUUGGGUUGGGUCUGGAGUACCCUGAGCAAAUAUCUGCACCAGAAUACACUGUGUCUGACUAGAGCAACAGCAGUCUACAAGGAGCUGGAUAACCCAGACACAAUCACUUGGAGUCCAGAGGCAAAUGGGAAUUUCACCACAUCAUCAGCCUGUGAUUUGCAUGGGAAUUAGCAAAACAACAAGGAGAAAGACAUGGCCUGGGAAAGAAUAUGGAACCUUUAAAGGCCCUAGUAGAUGGAAGUUGCUGCUGUUGAGAGUGAGGCAUGGACGAUUGCUCACUAAUGCAGAAAAACAUUACAGACAUCUGCAUCCUUCCAGAAAAUGUGAAGUAUGUGGAGAAGAAAUGAAACAGCACUGCAUGCAUUGAGAGACUGUGAUUGGUCAACAAAAUUCGGAGAGGACUUGUCUCAAGGGAAAGAUGGAGAGACUUCAAAUCAAAGUCCCUGAUUCAAUGGGUGGAUUGGAACGUUAAGCAGAGUGACAUAGGAAGGAUCAAGAACGUACUCUGGCCCGUGCUCUCCCAAGAGGUAGUGCACUGGGCAUGGACAGCGAGGAAUGAGAAGGUUCAUCAGAGGCUGGACAGAAAGCUCAAAGCCCGUCCGGAGCAGCUAAUUCAGCAAGCAGUAGAGGCUCAGGAGCUUACCAAUACUCGCACGGAGAACAGGAGCCAGCCGAAAUACAUCAGCUGGGACAAACCACAGGAGGGCUGGAUUAAGAUGAAUGUAGAUGGAGCUGCAAAAACAUAAUCCAGGGAGGGCCAUACUCUUGGGACUUAGAAUCGCCUACAGAGCAAGCAGGGUACAAGAAAGUCAUACUGGAGACAGAUUCUCAGUAGCUAUGUCGUUACUAGAAUCAGCACUAGAGGAGAGCCAAUAUUGGAAUAUGAUAAAAAAUAUAAAAAAAUGGAUUGAGAAAUGUGUUUAUUAUGUAAGCAAAAUAUUAUUUGGAAUUUUCUUUACUUGUCGGCAAGCAAUUUGUAGGCUUUGAGAAAAGGGGCCGAUAGGAAGAAUAACCGAAAUAUCAUAGAAGCAAGCAAAAGCUAGAACCUAAAUGGAACAAGUACAAAGCCUUCACAUGGCUCUAAUGGUUGAAGCUGUCCCCGGACAUUAUUUCCAAAAUAAAAAUUAAAAAAAAACCCCGCAAUAGAACUUAACAAAACCACAGAUUUAGACCCACUAAAGUCUAGAAAAAGGAUUUUUCAAAAAUUUUGAAUUGCCACUCGAUACUGGAUUUAGUUAUACCGAGUCACCUAAAAGUAAUUUUUGAUCUCUAAAACACAAAUUAAAAUCCUUUAACUAGAUAAUUCCAUGUCUUUCAAAAUCAGAGAAAUAAGUUCGAAAGCUCAUUUGUAAGGAGAAACGGUCAAAGUUUUAUUCUCAAGCACCCCCUACACCUAACAAAACCGAUUGCAAGUUUAAUUUCGUUCUUUCAAUUUUAAGGCAAAAAUGAGUUAAUCUAUUGCUAAACACAUAAUAUUUACUUAAUUAACACAAAAUACCCAAACAAAUAAAAAAAAAUUGCAUAACACAUAAAGAGUGAAAUAAAAUGAAAUGAUUAAUUUCAAAGCUCUGCCCACUCGAUCAUAUGCAACAAAAUAAAAAGUAAUUAAGAAAAAAUAUAAAAGAAAAAAGAAAAAGAAAAUUACAAGAUUCAAUUGCUCCUGCGUCCCAUAUGGGUUACAUCACUUCUAAAAAGAGAAAAUAAAUUAAUUACAAUGUGAAUUGACAAAUAGAUAGACUAAUGAAGCAAAAGUUGACUAAUCUAGUCUUAGGACUUAAUUAAAACUACCCAAAACAAGUUCGGUGGUAAAUCUGAAAGAUUGUAAAUUUUGGGGUGAAAUCACAAAUGUGUCAUCUUUCUCCAUUGAAACAAUGGAGAAACCUGCGUAACCUGCGUUCUUGUUUCUUCAAUGGAACUUUCACCGGAAACUAGAAAUCAUCAUCUCCGGCGCGCAUUGGACUUGCCAGAUCUUCGCCCUCUCUCCCUCACGCACACCAAAUUCCAUUGGGCAACCAAAAAUAGAACGAAAGGAAAAUGUAGAAGAAAAUCAAAACAAAAAUCUCUGGGUCUUUGAUGGCUUUCCGGCGAAGUCACGGGCUCCGAUCAGCGUUGGACUGAUCGGAGCUCCGCCCCACGCGCUCAGAUACAAGAGAUUUGUCUCUUUACUUCAAGUUCUCGUUUAGGCAUUUCUUCAAACAGUAGAUGGGCAUACGAAAAUUCUAAAGAUCUCAUACAAUUCCAACGAGAGAAAGACCCAAAACUUGUAAUCAAAAUAUGAUUUCAGUCCAAGAAAGCCAAAGAGUAUACUCAGCCAUGAAAAUUGCAAAAUAAGUGCAGAUUAAAAAAAAAGUCAAAUUGAGAUUAAAGUUGGAAAGGAAGUAAGAACUCACAGUGCAUUUUAAAUGACGACUUGAUAACCGUGGUGGUAUGGACAAACUCCGACGACCCAGCAGUGGCAGCGGCUCCUCCUCUGUUUCCCGUCGGUUCUUUUAUUAUUAUUAUUUUUUUUUUUUGGCCGACAGUAAUAGGAUAAUGGCAGAUGGAUUGAAAAAGGGGAUUCUUUUGUGAAAGAUGGAGCUGAUGAUUAGGGAUUGAGGAAAUCUAGCUCAUGGCGGAUGAAUUGGGAUUAAUGGUGAUGAAUGCAAGAAAUAGUGGUCCAAGUCCUCAGUUUCUAAUAUCUAUCAAGUUUUCAAAAUUGGGAUCCUAUUUAAGAUCUUGUUUUUGUGUCUGCAGACGAGAUCGUAAGAUGGAUAGAUCCUAUAAAAAAAAACGUAAAAAAUACUCGUACCAAUAAUUUUUGAAUUUGCAAUUCACACAUAGAGCAAUAAAUAAUGUAACUCAUAUGCAAUAAUAUAAUAGAUAACGUAACUUAUGCCGUUAUGCGUAAUGUAACUUAUGCUAUCUAAAGUAUUUGGGGAGUCUAAAAUUAAAAUAAAAAUUUUGAGACUAUAUGUAACAUAUUGUAAUGCAUGUGAUCAAACUAAAAGUCUUAUUCUUUCUUAUUUUUAAAUCCAAACGUAAUUAAUGGACAAGAUAGUUGGAAAAGUUGAUUUUAUAUGUACAUAGACCCUUUAAGUAUUUAUUAAUAAGAUAAUUAAACACAGUAUAUUUAGUUAAUUAUAACAUUUAUUGAUGAUUACAUCAUUUUUUAUAUGUAUAAGAAGAUAAAUAAAUAUUACAUACAUAAUGAAAUGUUUGAAAUAUAUUUUCUUUGACUAAAAAAUUAGUAUACAAUAAACAAAUAAUUGAAGAAGAUUGUGAGAUAGAAAUUUAUGACAAAAUCAUGUACUUUGGGUUCAACUAUUUGGCAAGUAAGUUUUUUGGAUGUUUGUCUAAAACUUUACUGUAGUUUACUGCAGAAGUUUUUUAAAAAAAUUUGUGAAGUGUGUAAAUUUUUGAAUAUUUUGAAGUGUAUAGUUUAAAAAUUUUGAGAAGUUUUUUAAGGUUACUGUAGCUAAAGUUUUAAAAAAACUUGUAGCAGAUAAACUUGGCAAAAAACUCAAAUGCCAAACAAGGCUACAAAGCCUACUACUUACUUACCUAUAUAUAACAAAAAUACUUAAUUUACCAGAAUAAAAACCCCAAAUAAGUGUCCUAAGUGAUAACUUACAAGCAAUCAUCUUCUUAAUGGAUCAAUUUUAAAUGUUCACCAUUUUUGUGGGUAAGGAAUUAGCAUGAUACACUUAUAUGUGCUUAAAGCUUCAAUUCUAGUUUUCAAUGCCACAGACGAUAUUCAAUUCCGAGUUUUCUAUAGAAAGUUAUGAUCAAAAAAUUUUUAUAGUAAUAUCUUGAAAUAAUACGAUCUUACGAUCUAGAAUGCAAUCCCACCGAUUUUGUUUGUUUAGGGUAAAAUUUUGAUCCUAAUUACAAUUCUACAUCCGGAUCGUGAUUUUAACGACUAUAAUGAGUAAUUGACCUAGUAAAUUUUAAUUUUAAUUUAGAAAUUAGAUAAGUAAUCUUAGAUAUAACAUGGUGACUUUCAAAUCGAUAUCGAAUUUGUAGAUAAGUAAUCAUAAAUAUAAUUAACGUAGUACUCCAAGAAACUAGAAUUGAGAUUGUAGAUAAAAUAAUCAUAAACAUAUAUCACAUAAUACAAAUGUUUCAAAGGUUGAACACUUCAACUAUUGAAAUAACUAGAUGGUUACCAAUUUAAAUUCUAACUCCGCAACUAGUUGUACUAGACAUGGCACCUAUAAAUCACAAAUUUGACUAGUAAUAUAGUGUCAAAAUUUGAGACUUUUUAAUAUAUUAAUGUUAUCUAAUUAUAAGGAUAACCAAAUUAUCGUAAAAAUCAAAGUUUACUCUUAAAAGUAAUUAGUGCUAAAUUAAAGGUUUUGUUGUGAUAUGAAUUAUCUAAUGAUAGCAAAUGCAUUGAAACAAGCAAGCAAAGAUAUCUAGAUAAAUGCCAAUUACAAUCUCGUGUUCAAAUUAACAUACACUAGCAUUUAUAACAUUUACAAUUCCGUGUUUAAAUGCACAUCCAAUGUGUGUGCAAUCAAAAAAUAUAUAAUAUCUAUGAUCAUAUAUUUUAAAUAAAAUUUUUAUUAUCGAAACAAACUUUAAUCUUUUAAUAAUGUUCAUAAAAUAAUUUUAUAUUAGUAGUUACAAUAUUUAGUGGUGGUUAUGUUGAAAACAUAUAAUUAAAUAGUUAAAAGUAAAAAUAGUGAUAAAUAGUUAUAGAUAGUUAAAGUAAAAGUAGUUUUUAUAAGGGCAAAAAAUAAAUUUUAUAAAAUGUUAUCCCCGGAUCCAUUCUUCAAACUUUAUAUAUAGUAUAGAUAACCAUACACCUACAUUCACUGAGUAUUCUAUUAUAACAAAAUGUACCUACAUUUUCAUAGUUUUCACAUUUACUAUCCCUUCUUCUUUUUUUUUCCAUUUGUUUAAGGUAAUUUAUCCAAUUUUUGCCAUUCAAUUUUUUAAUUCUGCUUAUUUGUUCAAAAGCGAUUUUUCUUUAUUUGAUUUACCUUUUUUUAAUUCUAUUUAAUAUAAUUUAACCAACAUUUUUCUUUUUCUUUAAGAAAAAACACUAUUCUUAUAAUUUGUAAAUGUGAUGGCUAUCCCAACUAUCCAUGACUAUGCAAAAGAAAAAAAAAAAAAGAAUAGUUGGUGCAUAUACACAAUUAUCACAUUUGAUACAUGAAGUUUUUCAAUUAACUAAUUACAUUAAUGAAUUAUUCUACGACAUAAAUAAUCACAAAUAACCAAGAGAUAAUCCAAAAUGCAUAGAUGAAAUUCACAGUAUGGAAGCAUAUAAUUUUAUAACCUUUUAAACUUUGUAUGAUUUCUAAAGGAAGUAAUUGACUUUCGAGAUACCAUGUAUGCAUAUUGAAAUUAAUAUCGUAUAUUUAAUAGUAACUUGUAUAGUGCUUGUAAUUAGAAUGUAAAAGGUAACUAAGACUGUUAAUUAUCCACAAUAUAUAUAUAUAUAUAAAUGUGAAAAAAAAUGUUCAAAACAUUAUUCACAUUUUAUUAAAUGAAUUUUUUUGCCAUUCACUUUCAAAAUAGUAACUUUACGUCCUUUACAAAAUUAAGUUUGUAAAAUUUUGUCCCAACCUAGGUUUUUGACUACUUUUUAUCUUGAAUCAAUCAUGUGACCUACACAAGGUCAUUUUUUUAUGGCAAAAAAGUUAGAUCUCAUUUAUAAUUAAAUAAAUGAUGAAAUUCAUAUUUAUUUUUUGCCAUUUGUCCUAAAAAGUAAUCUGACAUUUUUGCAAUAUUCAUUUUUGUCCUAAAAAGUAAAAUCUAACAUUCAUAUUUAUCUUUGCCAUUUGCCAUAAAAACAUUUUUAUUUAGUAUGCAAGAAUUGAAUCUUUUUCAACUGUAAGUAUUCCUUGUAGAGUGAACUAUAAUCCAUUUGGUACCAACAUGGCAUGUUAAGGUCGGGAUCGUAAUUCUGAAAACACGACUAGUAUGUUAAGUAGCUUGUUAGCGAUAACAAAACUCAAGUUUUGAUGAAAAAAAAAAAAAGUCAUUAAUUCACAGCCGGUUGUCAUUAACACACGCAAAAAAAUUUUCCGGGUUCCAUCUAGGGGUGCAAUCAAGUCAAGUUGCUCGCGAGGAGCUUGCGAGCGGCUUAGUAAAAAGACCGAGCUCGAGCUACUCGUUACAUUCAACGAGUCGAGUUUGAGUUCCAAAAAUAAAUACUCGAGUGCUCGACGAGUUUAAUCGAGUUUUUAUAUUAAAUUUAUAUUGUAUAUUUUGAAAAAAAAAUUAUAGGCUUAUUUCAAAACUCGAGCUCGAGCUCGAGUAGAUUGGGCUUGAUAUUUACUCGAGUUUACUCGAGCUCAAACGAGUUGAGCUUAAUUUUAUUUUAUCGAGUCGUGCUCGAGUCCAAAUUUUUUUAUUUGUUCGAACUCGAGCUCGGGCUCGAAUAGCACUGAUUCUGAUCGAGUUCGAGCUCGAGUAUCGACUUGGGUCGAUAGUAAAUCUAGUUCCAUCCAUCAUUAAGGCUGGUUUGUUAAGCCAACCCUACAGCCAGUUGCCUUAUUUUAGUUGGGGCCCAAUUGACAUGUGAAAGAUGUCCAAGCUGAGUUGUCUUGUUAAUACUUCUGCCCACGGUGGAGAGUUCCCUCUACUUUCCAGUUUGCACACUAGAAGCAACCGACAAGAACCAGUCAAAAGUCAUAACCACAAGAGUUGGUCAGUCCUGCGUUUUGCAGAUAGCUUUGCCUUGGGGUUUUGGGACCCAAAACAACCAAUUUCUUGAUUUUUUUUUCCCAAACGGUAACAAAUUUCAUUAAUCAAAGAAAGGAUUACAUUGUUUGAGCAACUGCCCUUACAUCAAGUGUGGCUAAACUAGUAAGCCAGAUUGGGAAGGACUCCUUCCAACUAAUUUCCUCAGACAAGCUAAUGGCAAAUUUUGCCAGCUUAUGAGACACACUAUUACCACCUCUUUUAACAAAAGAGAAGUAACAAACCUUAAAGGCUUGACAUAACUCCAAUACAUCAUGCAAGAUGGUCCCUGCAGUUGGGUGAUCCCCGUUCCUAUCUGUAAGCAAAUCCACCAUUUGUUUACAAUCAGAUUGGAUUUCCACUUUGUUCCACCCACACUGUUUAGCCUUGAUGACAGCUUCCCUGAUAGCUAAGGCCUCCUCCACUGCUGGGAUACCAUUCCUUUGUUCACCACCUGCCCAAGCUCCUACUACCAUGCCAUCCUCUCUUCUGGCCACAACUCCCCAUCCUACUCUGCCUCCUUUAACCUCCAAGGCUGCAUCAGUAUUUAGUUUGACAACCCCCUGUGGAGGUGGAACCCAUUUACUACUCCCAUCCUCCUGUGUUUUCCUUGGUUCCGCUACCAUUCCAUCCCCAUUUCUCACAUCUUGAUACUCAGACCACUCAUUAACAGCUUUACUGACUAUUCUUCCUGGACAGUUCCUUUCCUCAUUAAAUUGCACUUGGUUUCUGGAUUUCCAUAUCUGCCAUAGGAUAUUUACUGUUAAGGCAAUGUGAUUCCGUCCUCCUAUUCUGUUCUGCACCUCCAUCAGGCUAUUCCACCAAUGCCAGAAACUGUGCCUGUACUCCUUCAGACCAUCCCAAUCAAUUGGAGCUGCCUUCCAUAUAAGCUCUGCAUGACUACAGAAGAAAAACAAGUGCUCCAAUGUUUCUGUCAUCUCCCCACAACACUUGCAUCUAUCCUCCCCUAUCCCUAUCCUACUCCUGAUCACCUCAUUGACUGGCAGGACCCCAUGCAAGCACUUCCAGAGAAAGUGUUUCAGCUUGUGUUUUAUAUCCAAGUUCCAUAGCACCUUCCAUACAUUAGAGUGACAUGUAUUUCUGCUAUUACUGGCUUCUUGUGGUUCCCUCCUCCUCCCAUCUCUUCUCAUAUCUCUAGCCAGCAUAUACCCAGUCUUGACUGAAUACUGUCCAGAUUUAGCCCACGGCCACACCAGUUUAUCAUUCCCUCCACAUAGGCUGAUAGGGAUUCCCUCAAUCUUCUUGCAAUCCUCCUCUCUAAACAUAGAUUCCAUUACUACCUUGUUCCACUUUCCAUCCUGGAUCAGUUCAUGAACCUUCUGGACAGGACAAUCUGCUGGCUUUGGAGAGACCACCAUACCUGACCCUCCCCCUGGUAACCACCUAUCCUUCCAAAUGUCCACUGUUCUACCAUCCCCCACCCUCUUCCUAGCUCCUAUCUCCAGUACCUCCCUUGCACUCAAAAGGCUCUUCCAUAUCCAAGAGUCCCCAGCCCUUACCUGUGUCUGCCAAAUGGAUUCCCCUUUAAAGUAUUUCCCCCUCAACACCUUACUCAUCAGCAGGUUAGGUUGUGUUAGAAUCCUCCACAGCAUCUUAGCCAACAUAGCACUGUUGAAAUCCUGCAAAUCUCUGAAUCCCAACCCCCCUUUCCCUUUAACUGCAGCCAACUUCCCCCAGUCCAUCCAGUGAGUCUUCCUCCUCCCUUCACUCUCCCCCCACCAAAACCUUGCCAUUUCUCUACACAUUUCUUGGCACAAGCUCUUAGGCAACCUACAACAGGUCAUAGCAUAUGCAGGCAUAGCUACUAUUGCAGCCUUCAACAGAACCUCCUUCCCAGCUUGACUCAACAAUUUUUCCUUCCAGCCUUUAAGCUUCUCCAACACCCUAACCUUAAUAUAGUUGAAAACCUGUCUUUUGGAUUUGCCAAUAACCAUAGGUAGCCCCAGAUACCUACUCUGAUCCACCUGUUUCAUCCCCCCUAGUAAACCCAGAAUCUCUUCCCUCUUACUCUCAUCUGUAUUCUUACUAAAGAACACAGAUGAUUUAUCAGUAUUGAUCUUCUGUCCAGAUGCUGUUUCAUAGAUUUCCAAGAUUCUCCUUACCUGUCUUGCCUCUGUCAAACUGGCUCUACAAAAUAGGAGAGUAUCAUCUGUAAAAAAUAGGUGUGAAAUAGCAGGGCUAUCUUUAGCAAUCUUUAAGCCUAACAAGCAGUGAUUAUUAACUGCCUGCUUAAUCAGACAGGACAGUCCUUCAGACACAAGCACAAACAGGUAUGGGGAUAAUGGAUCCCCUUGCCUAAUUCCUCUAGCAGGCCUAACCAUACCCUUUUUCUCACCAUUUACUUUAAAGGAAUACACAACAUAUGACAUGCAUUUAAACAUCCAGUUUAUCCACAUUGGGCAAAAUUCCAUUUUUUCCAGCAUUUUGACCACAAAAGGCCAUUCUACCCUGUCAUAGGCUUUUGCCAUAUCUAGUUUCAGAGCCAUAAACUCAUUAGAUCCUGUUCUUCUUUGUUUUAAACAAUGAAUACUUUCAUGAGCAAUCACAAUAUUAUCAAUUAUUUGCCUACCAGGAAUAAAGGCUGACUGAUUACUACUAAUGCAGUGCUUUAGGAGAGGCUUCAACCUAUUCACAAGAACCUUAGAAAUGAUUCUAUAUACUACAUUGCAAAGGCUGAUAGGUCUAUAUUGGGACACAGAAAUGGGAGAGGCAACUUUAGGGAUCAAAGUAAUAAUAGUCUCAUUAAUAGCUUUCAGUAAAUAACCAGAAUGAAAGAAGCUAGAGAUGGUAGCUAUCAGAUCAGUUUUAAUGAUAUCCCAGAAAUGCUGAAAAAAGAAGGGAGUCAUACCAUCAGGUCCAGGGGCUUUAUUAGGAUGUAAAGAAAACACUGCUUUCCUGACUUCCAUCUCAGAGACUGGUCUGGUGAGCUUGUUGUUCAUCUGUCCUGUGAUCACCUGGGGAAUGCCAUUGAGUAUUGCAUCAAACUGCCUCGGAUUAGUGGAAGUGAAAAGCUUCCGGAAAUAUCCAUUGAUCUCCUCUUCAAUCUCCCCCUCAGACUUGCACCAAGGACCAUCCUCCCUUUGCAGGGUAGAUAUAUUGUUCCUUCUCCUUCUCCCCGCAGCCACAGUAUGGAAAUACUUAGUAUUUCUAUCCCCCUCUUUCAACCAUUGCACUCUAGCCUUUUGCCCCCAGUAAGCUUCCUCCUUCUUGUAAGCCUCAGCCAGCUGUCUCUUCAGAGCACUCAAUCUCUCUUUUUGAUCUGCCUGCUGCCCUAUGUGAACCUCUGCUAUUUCCUUAUUUAUCCUGUUGAUAUGUGUCUUAGCAUUAGCUUUACACUGCCUGUUCCAACUUAGCAAAGCCAUCCUACACUCUUUAAUUUUCUGUUUUAAUCUGAACCCCCUGGACCCCAUCUGUUGUUUAUCCCAAGCAGCUGAGAUAAUAUUUUUAACUUCCCUAUGCUGCACCCAAUUCUUAUCAAAAUGGAGCCUCUUUUUCCAUUUCUUGUUCUUUGGCUCAGUAUCCAGCAACAACAUGCAAUGGUCAGAGGCCUCAUUUUGAAUGUGCACACACUUAGCUCUAUCAUGAUCUCUACUCCAAUCCCUACUACACAGAAUCCUGUCAAGCCUUUCCCUAACCUCACCCUCCUCAUCCCAAUUGUUACACCAAGUCCAGGGAAUCCCUUCAAAACCAAUAUCUACCAGUUGAUUAUUAUUGACUAAGUUCCUAAAGAUUCUAAAACUUCUAUCACUCCUCUGCUUCCCUCCCCAUUUUUCUCCACUGGAAAGUAGAUCAUUCAUGUCGCCUGCCAAGAUCCAGUUCCUACCCCAUAUAUUAGCUCUAUGUUCAAUGGUUUUCCACUGCUGCUCCCUGAGCUGAUCAAUACUACUAGCAUAUAUCCCAACAAACCACCAAUCCUCCUCAGUCCCCUUCCCUUCCACAUUCAAUUCUAUUGUAAAAUCAGUGAAAAGAACUCUUUUAACUACUAAGUCCCUCCUCCAAAGUACAGCCAGACCUCUAGCUCUACCUAUAGGGUCAACAACAAACAGACUAUCAUAUCUCAGUCUCAUCCUAAUCUUAUUCAUAAGAAAUUUUUUGUUUUUAGUUUCAUCUAAAAAGACUAACUCACGGGAGUGGAGUCUCACAACCUCCUCAAGUUGGGAAACUGUCAAGGGGCUCCCAGCACCUCGACAGUUCCACACCACAGCUCUCAUUGAGGGUUGGGAGCCCCAUUAAGGUUGGACUCCACCACCUUCAGCAAACACUCCCUGUCAACCUCUCCUUCCAUCCCCUUAAAUUUUUUCUGAUCUCCUCCCCCUUGCUCCCCACAGUUUUCUUUUCCAAGAGCCUCACCCUGCUUCCUCUUACCAGACUCCUCUAUCUCCAUACCAGAAUUUUUCUCUCCCAAUGGCACUCUCCUCCCAACCUCCUGAACCAAUCUUCUCCACCCCUUACUACCUUUAUACUUCCCAGCAGGCUUACUCUUACUCAUACUUCCAGCAGCCUGACUUUUUCCCUUCUCUCUCCCCCUACCCUACCCAAUAUUUCCUCUUCUCGACCCCCAUCAAGCCACAUGUUAUCAUCCCCCACCUUCUCAUUCUGAACCAAACUCCCCUCCCCAAAGCUCUGUUCCCCUUUCUCCUCUAUAUUGGGUCCAGCUAUCUCCCCAUCCAAGCUCAGUUGGGCUUCAGCCCCCUUAGUCUUCUCAACUAGCUCUACCUCCCCUUUACUACCACUACUAAUUAUAUUGCCUAUAAUUCCUUCGCCCUCCUUCCCAAUCCAGCUGGUUUCACUACCCCCCCAAGGCAAGAGUAGAUUAAUUCCCUCAUUCUCCUUACCAAAAUCCCUCUGAGACUCCCCAGCACUCUCACCAUAAUUUGAAAAGCCUUUAUUCUGUCUUCUUGGGCUUCUAGAGUUACUAGCUCGCAUCCAAGCUCCAAAUUGUGUUUCUUUGUCCAGGUAAUUUCCUUUAAUCUUACAAUUUUUCUCAUUAUGCCCCAAUAGUCCACAACAAUAACAGAAAUCAGGACACUUCUCAUACCUAAACUCAAUCCAUCGCGCACUACCAUUCAUUCUAACCGUAGUUCCCCUCAACAGUGGUUUCUCAAUAUUAACUUCCACUAAAAUUUUAAUAUGUUUUCCAUCUUUUCCCCCACCAUUAGGAAGAAUAACCUCUUUAACUGAAUCAAACACUCCCCCAAUCUUGCGACCUAUCUCUUUAGUUAUCCAAUGGAUUGGAAGGUUCCAGAUCUGCACCCAAAGCCAAGUUUUACUAAAAGCCAUAACAUCUAUCUCUAUCCCCUCCCUCCACGGCAUCACAACCAAUAGGGAAUUAUCAUACACCCACGGCCUCCCAUUCAAAACUCUGUCCAUAUCAUUUUGGUUCACGAAAAGAAAUUGAAACAGAUUCAUACCAAUUUCAACAACCUUCACAUUCUUAGCAAAAAUCCAUAUAUUACUGGUAAAACUCUUAAUACCUGCAAUAUUGGCCACCUUCUCACCAAUCACUUUGCCAAUGAUGCUCAAUCUGCAUUCCGCCACUCCCUGGAGAAUAUCCUCCCCCUCAAUUUGAAUUCCUACCUCCUCUUUCUCCGAGAGAUCAAAUUUCCUCAGCACUUCCUCAAGCUCCUCAGCCAUUGCUACAAUACUCAAAGACUUCGCACCGAUGAUCACAGGAUGAUGAUCCACUACACACCAGUUCCAAGAGGAAAUCUGGAGAAACAGAAAGAGAGCAGUUAAACGCCAAGUUUAGCAGAUUACGAAAGGACUACUACCGCCCUAUCCUAACAACGAAGACGGCAGCAAAGAACACCGCUGGAAGAAAAAUGAAAACACAGAAAGCAAACUAAGGAAAAACAAACGAAUCUGGCUCCAGAACCAGCUCUAUUAAGAUUGGAAAGCUAGCUCUAUUCAUUAGUUGAGCAGAUCCAGCUGACCAAAUCUUCACGAAGAAAGUACACAAAGGAUGCAGUCCAAAUCCAUAUUCUAUGUGUUAACUUCAGAAAUGCAUUCAUUGUUUAUCAAAGCAAGACAAUCAGAUGAAUCUAUGGCUCUGAAAGAGAGGAAAACGAACUGUAAAAGUACGGGAAAAUUAAAAAACUAAAAGCAGCAAAGUUUAAACCACCCACUAGGGGGAGAGAAUCUCUACUAGAGAGAGAAAGGAAACUCUCAUAGAGAGAGAGACUACCAACCAAUUUCUUGAUUAAAUUCCAUUUUUUUUUAAAUUUCCCUUGAGACACGAAUAUGUAGCAGACACAAUUUUUGGUCAUCCAUUAGCGGCUGAUGAGUAUACUAGGAUGUAUAAACCGCGCGAUGCGCGGUGGAUAUAAAAAUGUGCAUGCCCAGUUUAGCAUAGAUAGCUGUAAAAUAUCUAAAUUUCCAAGGACAUUACUAUUCUUUGAAACAUAAAGAAAUUGGAGUAAAAAAAUAUAACACAGGAUAGGUUUAAUUUAAGUUCUAAAAAAAAAAAAGCUCAUAAAUUCAGGCUAUUACAUUUACACGAUAUAUACCAAUUGGGACAUUUGACGGAUCCCAUUACGAGUUGAAAAAUAUUUUAUCCCAAUAAUAAAAUCUAAGCUUAGGAUUAGCAAUGAGUCAAAUCGAGUUCAAAUAUUGUGAUUAUGCAACUAUGCAAAUAGAAGAGAUAAACUAUGAGAGAGAGUGUGUGUGAAUAUGUUGUACACCGUGCAAAAGAUGGGUAAACAACCAAUAGUGAGAGACAGAGAGAGAGAACAUACACAAUCUGUCCCUCUCUCUCUUUUUCAGACACACACUCUAUCUGUCUCUCUCUUUCACACACAAACAAAUGUAUACCUUUUUUGGUCAACAAUUACAAUUGCAAUACUAACACCGAGGGAGCUAUACAAAUCUUUUGGCAAGUAUUUCAUAAAAUGCAGGAGAAGAACUUCAGUUUCAGACUUCUAAGUGAUUACCACGUCAAAGUAAUAAAAUCUUUAAGGAUAGCCCUCUUCUCGUCAUUGUAGUGAAGAAAAAAUGCGAGACCACCAACUCCACCCAAAACAGUACCAUGCUGCAAAAGACAAACUAAGUGAAUAAAAAUGGCAGGGAAAAAACAAACUAAUAAAAAGAUGUGUGAACAGGAGAAUUAAAAGAAAGCAAGAAAGUUCAGUCAUAAAAGGUUUUCAAAGAAAAGAGCAAGUUAAUUAGCAUACAACUAUAUAAGGUCUCCAGGAAUUAGAGGUGUUUUUUGGAGGCAAUAAAGGACGAGAGUUUGUGCUCUUUGCUGAUUGCAAACAUCUGCCAGAGUGGAAACUCUUACAGGGAAUAAACCUACAGUAGUAUAAAAAGAAACAAUAUCAUUAGCUUUAAUGUGCCAAGAAGGAGGUUCAGGGCUGUGUCUCUGUGUGUGUGUGCGUGAGAGAGAGAGAUCCCAGGAAGGAAAAGAAGACUUGCAAGCUUAGAAGAGGAUUUAUGUUUUACAACUUCAUUCUGCCACAACAUUUUGUCUCAUUUGAAUAACUCUAACAAAUAUCCUCAAGAUUAGACUAUUUCACUUUUCUUGCACAUACUGAGCCCCAACCAUAUAAACAAAACUCAAUUGAACUCAAUUUGAAUAUGUGCAUGAACAUGCAUCAACAAAUUGACAUGCCAUCAAUGUCAGCAGCAAGAUUGUAUAGUGAAAAAUUAGUCAUGUACAUACACAAAAAAAAAAAAAAUGCAUAGGUUCCUCAUUAAAUCCAAAAGCCUCAAGUCCAAGUCUUAAAACAUUCAAGCUUUAUAUAUUGAUGAAAGUUUGUGUGUACUAAAUCACGAGAACAGGAAUAAUGGCGAAUCAGAGGGACAUCUCUACCCAGAGAGUUGCAUUUUCUUUUCAAUAUCCUGCAGAAGUCUCCUAGAGUAGUUCAACGUGCUUUGAAAUGUUCUGAUUGAACAAUAAGAAACUCGCUCAUCCAGGUCAUGCAAAAAUUUAGUAAAAUUACUGGCAAAAUGAAAUUUCUAAUGAUAUCUCAGAAAAAACCAACUAAGUUGGUCUUUGCCUCCACAAAGAAUCUUCAUCAGCAACUUAAACAGGAAAUGGCAGUUUCUAACCAUCCAUCUGACAUCCUUCAGCACGAUAGUUUUUAUAGCUGACAACCUGACCAGUAAUAGAAUACUCCGUUUCUUAUUCAAGUCCACUAACACUAAAUUCAUCAUCAGUUUAUUUCUACAUAUCUUGAUGAUAAUCCACCUCUGCUGUGAUACAUCACCAGAGAGAUAAUAAUAAAAAAAAAUCACUGCCAAAAUGCCUAACAUGAUAAGUACUGGAUAUCCUCCUUAAAACGCAUUCAUUAUGAUUGAAAUGAAAUAUGCUUUCAUAUCUCUCAAUCUUACCGCACAGAUAAUAAAACUUUGAUAUCUAUAAUCUACACAGAGAGAAUAAGGGUAAUGAAUAUUUUUACAUAACCAAUUGUACAUCUCUUAUGUUGAUUCGAUCAGCAAAUAUGGCAAACGUUCAAGGAUUGGCAAAACAACGAAGUCAUGCAGAAUAAUCACAUUGCCCAAGUAAUGCAGAAUACUGCCUUGGAAUCUCUUACUCUUCUAAAUCAAACAAACAAACCUCAUAAGAUACAUGCUAUUUUGUACGUUCUAAGCCUCCAUUAUUUUAGAUUUACCAUUUCGCAUUUUCAACCGCUCAAGCUAAGAACAGUUGACUAAAAAUCUAUAUGAGCCCAUUUCCAACGAGACUUUGCAAACUCCUCCUUGGCCAUAAUGCAUUAAGGAAAUCUCAGAAAAACUUGAAAAUUAAACUCAACCCAGAAGAAAACUAAAGAGUUGAAUUGCAGAGUAAUCAAACAAACAAAAAUCAUCACCUGAAAUAAAUUACUAAACAAAGCUCACAUGCUUAAACAUGAAAACAAACUAUACCCACAAAAAAAAUCUAUCAAAAUAUGCCAAAAAAAACAACAUAGAUAUGUGAUGUGUUAUACCUUUUUAGAGUAUUAAAGGAUUCUGCAGAGAGAUUUCUUAAGAAGGAGAAGAUAACCCUUGACAUUGAUAUUGGUACUGAUACUUUUUCCCCCCCUUUUCCUUCUCAAUUUUCUACUUUCUUUUACAAAUUUGGCACAUGGGUAAGUGGGGUUUUCUUUAUUUUGCAAUAAAUUUUGCCUGACCACAAACAGAAUGCAAGAAUACAGAAAAUAGGUUCACAAAAAUCUGUAAUAUUCUUCACCAAAAACAAUGUUCAAGUUGGCCAUUUAAAGGUAAAAAAAGGAAGGAGAAAAUCGCAUCUAACAGUAUGAAACCAAAACAGACAUGCAAAGAUGAAUCCUCCCAAAUUUUAUCAGAGGCAUACAAGGCAAUGACAAAAUGUAAUUACAACCUCCCACCCAAAUAUUCAGUAGAUAGCCCAACCCAAGCUAGAAAUUUCCAUCUUCAAUGAUGUCAGUGACCCAUUUGGCAACGUGGUAAUUAGAAAAAAAAAAAAGAAAUGCUAAAAAGUAUCGAUUAGGCCAACCUCAGGUAGUUUACUGUAGCUGAAUAAUGAAACGGGUCAGAUGAAAUGCCCGAAUUGGCUGAACAGAGAAUCCAAGAUGUCUAUCUUUCUUUAUUGAUAGAAAGAAACAACAUCAAAAUUGACCUGCCACAAGAAGUUUAAAAAAAAUGAAGAUUUACCAUUUGACAUAUAUUUCAUCUAAACAAGUUUAAAAAUCAACAACAAACUAAUCGGACAAAAAAAAAGAGAAAAAGAAAAAGAAAAUUGUGCUGGGACAAAAAGGAAAUAAGAACUAUAGAAUGGAACCAAAGGGAGCAUUAACUGAAAACUAAAGGUAGAUUUUGUAGAAAAGUUACCUGGAUUAUGUUGAUAAACAGUUUCCUGUAGAUUUUUUUUUAAAGAUGAAGAACAACAUCACCAAAAAAAUCACUCGAUCUGAAAAGGGUAAGAAAAAUACGGCACAACAACAACAUAAAAAAAUUAAUUUGAUCAGAAAAGUAAAUAGGAUAAAAUAAAAGACUUUCUAACCCAGAAUCUAUGCAAAGGUCUACCAAAAAUCUCAAACUUUGAGUUAGAAAUGAUGCCCACAACACACACUGAAGAAUUUCAAUACCAACUUCUCCAAUCGCCAUCGCCUAACAAAGCUGCAAACUGACACAAAUAAGGAAGCUGCAAAUUGACAAAAAAAUAAGGAAGUUGCAAAUUGACCAAAAAAAAAAAAAGAAGCUAAGAGCGAGGAGGCUCAUCGCUACAGCCUCCACUGGUCGUAUCAUUUGGGUGAGGAAAGGGGCGGAGAGGAGAAGCGGCGGAGAGGCAUUUGUUACAACAGAGUCUAUUUUUUUACGCACAGACGACAGUUUUUUGGGAAAACACAAGACAAAAAAACGCAACACCCCAAAGACCAGAACAUCACGUGUCAAAAAACGCACAACCACGUAUGGUUCCAGACAGAAUAGAAAGAGGGAUAUGUUUUUUUCUUGCGUCUGAGGCACACACCACAGGGGCCUUCAGGAACACAGGCCAAUAGCAAACACCUGUAGACCAGAAACCGGAACCACCAAACCAAACAUAGCGCAAGUAGAAGGGAAGAAAUACCAAUCCUAGGAUAUAACUUACCGAGAAAACUCACAACAAAGACUGCUCCUAAGCUGAAAGGAAGGAGAAGACUUACAACGAAAGAGGAGGAGAAGAACCAAACGGAUGACAAGAUCGUACCUCUCCUGAGAGCAAAACAGAAGAUAUGCUAAAAGGGAAACAAAGAACAAAAAAGAACAGAAAAUAUCAGUUCCAGGCUAAAGCUUACAGAGAAAACUCACAGCGAAGAUUGCACCUCACCGGAAAGGAAGAAGAAGAAAUCUUACAACGGAAGAGGAGGAGGAGGAGAGCCAAAGGUAUGGCAGAUGAUCCAGACCACCGCAACCCAGAGAACGCGAGAGACAAAGGCUCGAUGCUCCUUUCGUGGUUCGGAAAGGGAAACAAAGAACAAAGAACAAAGAUAUCAGCUUCAGGCUAAAACCUACGGAGAAAACUCAGAGCGAAGACUGCACCUCUCCGGAAAGGAAGAAGAAGAAAACUUACAAAGGAUGAGGAGGAGGAGAACUGAACGGAUGGCAGAUGAUUUGGACCACUUCAACCCAGAGAACCCGAGAGAGAGAGGCUCGAUGCUCAUUGUGUAGUAAGAAGAGAACCAAAUAUCUCAACAGGCUCUUGUACCAGAGCUCAGAACAUCCGGAUAAGCAAGAGUGCAACAUUGUCCAAAAGGAGGAGAGAGAGAAGGUAGCUAGAAGAAAGGGCCCGGGAUUCUACCAGAUACAGAAACAAGUAUAUCAAUGCGGCAGACAACGCAGCAGAAGGCACAUGGGAUACUGCGAGAGGAGAAGUUGAGAAUAGAGCGGAAGCCGUCGCGCGAUGCGCGAACAAUAUAAUGCUCUCAACCCACUUGCACGGCACGUGGGAGGACGACGAAAACCUCCAGGUCAUCACAGCUCUUCGCACGUUAUCUACUUAUGUUGAAAAGGGACAAAAACGUGCGCAUAGACCUUUCAUUCUUCUAGACUGGUAAUUGUGCAUAUGCUUUGCACCCAUCAUUAUCAAUGGCAUACAAGCAUGGCCUUCUACGAUCUACAACUUGCAAGACUUGUGAAAGCAAUGAAAAUCAAUGCAAGGCUGUGGAGAUAAUAUACAUUUUGAUCGUUAUCUCUAUUAUGACACACAAAUCCUACUUAACUGAAAUUACCUCUCUUCCAUUCUCACGUUCUCCCUUACUAAUGAUUUUUUUUUUUUACUUCCAAUUGUAUAUAUUUCUGUAUAAUACAUUUUUUAUUACACAUUACAGAAAAUAAUUAUAUUCACUUACGCUAUUUUUGUGAUUCUUUCAAAUAAAAAUAUUUUUUGAUAAGUUACACACGUAUCAAGUGUGCCUCGAUGACUAGUAUUAAUUAAAGCUCUAACUCCACUUUGCAUCCAUUAAUUUUUUUCAAUGGCUUCUCAAUUUGCAGCUUCAAUCUUAUUUUUGAGCACGUUGUGUUCUAAACUUUCAAAUUUAUCCCACUUGGACCUCUCUGUUAACUCCAUUGUGAAAUUGACAGAUUUUGCGCGUGGGCUUAAACUCCACGCAAAUGUUAAAUCCAUUUGGCUUCUCAAACUCCACGCAGAUUUUGUACUCCAUUUGUGACCUCCAUUAAGAAACAUUUGUUGACAGGUUCAAUUCUCUUUGUGCCCAUAACUUAUUACUGCUCCCAACAAAUUACGACCCCAUGUUUGGUUUAUAUUUAAAUGUGCUAAAUAGGCGCUUAUUGAAAGGACUUUGAGGAGUUGGUUUUUUUUUUUUUGGUUUAAACUAUAAUUAAUUUAGUAAAGCAUCUGAACACACGGGAAGUGCAAAAAUUGUGAUUGUGUAUAUUCACCUGAUAAAUUAGAUAUAUUUGCACGUGCCCUGGCACAUUUCUUUUUUUUUUUUUUUUUAAAAAAAAUCCAUUCACAAAAGGAUAAACUUUAGUGGAUGCAAAUUAAGAUCCGAAAUGAUCAGAAAUAAGGAGGAGACGUUCAAAAAGGAAAUUAAAUCCAAGGCUAGCCAGCGUGUUGUUGGCAACUAAAUCUAAUCUAUAACAAUUUUUGGACGGCACCAAAAACUGCGGACAAAACCACACAUGUUAUUCAUUAGGUUGGCGCAGGUUUUAAAAAAAUUCAAUGACUCAAGCUGUGCCAUUAGGGGUGUGCAAAAUCGAAAAAUUUCGAUUUACCGACCGAAUUCGAAUUGAAUUCGGAAUUUUUGAAAUCGGUAAAUCGGAAAUCGGAAUCGAAUUCGGGUUUUUCGAAUUCAUAAAUUUCGAAUUUGGUUCGAAUUCGGUAAUGGAGUUUUUCAAAUCGGAAUUCGAAUUCCGAUUUUGAUUUCAAAUUUGUUUUUAAUAUAUAAAUAUAUUUUUUAUACAUGUAAUAUAAAAUUUAUACUAUAUAAUAUUAUAUAAAAUUUAUACAAUAUAAUAUAAUAUAAUAUAAUAAUAUAUAAAUUUUUCCGAAUUCGGUGAAAUCGAAAUUUACCGAAUUCGAAUUUGGAAUUGGUGAAUUCGAAAUCGAAUUCAAUCGAAUUAUCAGAUACCAAAAUUUUGAAAAAUUUCGAAUUCAAACUUUCGAAUUACCGAUUUUGAAUUCGAUGCACACCCCUAUGUGCCAUACUAUCUCACAAUCUGCACUCUUUUGCCUUUGAAGACCGCAGGGUAUUUACAAAUAGUAAAAAACUAGAGAUUAUGAGCUUGCAGCUUUUUCAAUUUUUGUUUUGAAAUUCAUUGACUCCCAAGGUAAAAACCUUGUAUUUAUUUAUUUAUUUAUUGUAAUGGUGUAAGGAUGACAUUUUAAAAAUAAGGAAUAAACAAGAGGAUUAGAAUUCAAGACUUCCCUAAAUAUAUAUGCCACUUAGCUUGUUUAUUUAUUUAUUUUCGUUUGUAUGGAAUGUUUUCUUGAUUCGACCACUGGGCCAAACAAUCUUCUGUGCUUCGGCCAAAAGCCACCGUAGACCUUAAAAAGAGCUCAAUAGCGUGUUGAGCAAUUACAUGUGGUUAUCAAUUUUAAGAUGCAAUAAAUUGAACCAGAAACAAAAGAUAUAUAUAUAUAGAACAGGUAUUUUUAUCUAGAACAAUUGUCUAAUAGCGCCCAUUACCUGGUCUAUUGUCACCGUACUUGCAAUGAUAUCUAGAUUAACAGGAUAGAUCAUUCAAAAAAAAAAAAAGAAAAAAGAUUAACAGGAUAGAUGUAAGCACUAAAAUACUACAUAUCAGGGUUCAAGAUAUACACCAAUAUGCAUGUAACUAAUAGAAAAUAUUAUUAAAGUUUUGGGUAUAUUUGUCGAAAUCAUUUUCGGAUGAAUUAGUUUUAUAUUUUUGACACUAGAUGGUAGAAAGUUCAUCAAAAUAAAGUUUAUAAAUAGAUAGUUAAUUAGAAGUAAUCCGAAAAUAUAAUUGUUAGUUGCUACUUGGUAGUUAAAGGAGAUAUUGGGUAGUUAUGAAGGAUAGUUUAAAAAGAACAUAAAGCGACAACAAUAUGUUUAUUUCAAAAUCCCCUUCCUCCAAUUUUUUUCUUUUGGUGGGACUCUCCUCCUUUAUAUGUAAUACAGAUAAUAAUAAAAAAUAUAAAUUAAUAUAAAAAAUGUAAAUAUCAAAACAACAACGUACAAAACACAACUUUUAAUGCAAAUAUUUGUAUGUUAAUCUAUUAAGGUCUACAUUUAUCAUCGGGUACUCACAAGUCACAAACGAUUUUUUUUAUAUAUAUAAUUUCAUCUCAAUUUCCUUGGUUCCUGGCAUACUUUGCACUUACCCUUGACAAUUCAAUUUACAAAAAAAAAAAAAAAAGGCAAAUUAAUGUUUUAGCUCUAUAGAAAAACAACUUUCUAGUUUUUAUAUAUACUUGUACACAUGAGGAAUGUUUUUCUUUAAAUCACUCCCUAACAUUCCCAAAAAUCUUUAACUUGCCAUAACCUUAUAGACUGCAACUGAAAAGAGUGAAUGGCAAUACCCAAUGUUGGAAUUUACAUAGAAGACCUGCAUUUCCACCAAGUUUUUUCACUAAUUCUAUCAAAGGUCAACAUAUUCGGAAUACAUAUCAUGUCACAUUUUUCUAAGACGGAGCAGACACUAGUACUGCCAUAAACUAGCAAAUUUAGAUGCAGGAGAGAAGUAUAAAAUUGGAAUUUUAAAUUUAAAUUUAGAUUAAUUAUCAUGCACACACACACACAUUUCCUUUCCUUUGGUUGGACAUUAAGACAAGAAACACGGUUUUAAUAAGGCAAAACAAUUCGUUUAGUCCCUCAGAUUUCUCGCUUUUUAUUUUCUUAUUUGAGCUAAGAGCCAAACCAAAUGAUCAUUGGACAGGCAUUUUUGUAGCUAAAAAAAGUAUCCAAUUUAUGAGGUGGAAGAUAUAUAUAUAAUGGCACAUUGAAGUUUAUAUUUGCGUUAAUUUAGUGCCCUCCUAAAUUUAUUUAUUCUUUUCGUUUUAUACGUUUCACACAGAAGAAGAAUAUGGGGGCUCAAUGUCACGUCAAAGUCAAACGACAUCACUUUGCGCCUAAAGUUGGCGAUUGCUAGGGUGUUACUGUUAUUAUUAUUUUUUUUUUUGGGGGGUCAAAAAACACAUGGGAAUAAAAGAUUAAAGAUGCCCUGGCUCUAAAACUCAAAAGGGCCACAUGCAAAUAACUUGCCUAAAUCUGAUCAAUUCUACUCGGGGCAAUCCGUGCAGGCUUGUUUGUGGGGAACUCCUUGCCAAAAUUCACUGGUUCCCUUUGCCGAAAAUAUGUAAGCAAACAGCAAUUCCCAAUAUUUCCUACAUCUUGAAUAGUAUGACCUGAAAAGGGAAGGGGAAAAAAAAAAAAACAGAGAGAGAGAAGGAAGGAUUCCCUUCAAGAAUAUAUCCUGAUUAUUAGUAAACACUUCCAACAGUUCAACUGCUUCUUCCUCGUGGAAUCAUAGGCAACGCUUUGCAUUUUAGGUAGGAGGCUGGAGGAUGGAGUUUACAACUCUUGUCCUUUUGCCUUCCACAUGAAAUCUCUAGUUUAAUACUUUCCACACCUAGACCCCAUCAUGUUGUCUCAGAAGAUUGUCUCAAAUGGAGUCCCUCCAUUGACGGCAACUUCCAACUAAAAUCAGCCUAUGAGCUAGCCUCCAAUGCCAAAGAAAAUGCUCCACUUCCCCCUGCUAUCUCUUUUAACUGGAUUUGGUGUCUCGAAGUCCCAAACAGAAUUAGGUUCUUCAUCUGGUUAGUGAAUCACAAUAGACUAGCCACCAGACAACUUCUCCAUCAAUAGAAUAUUCUUCCGGACAACACCUGUCAACUUUGCUCCUUGCACUGUGAAGACACAGACCAUACCCUUAGGAAGUGCAAUUCAGCAGUGCACUUCUGGACAGGUCUUAAACCACCAUGGCUCCACAAUAUAAACCAUCUCCCUUUCAUAGGCUGGCUCAAAAAAAUCUGCACUGACCCUUCCCCAUCCCCUUUUCUCUCUAUUCCUUGGGGAGUCUUAUGCACUUUUGCUCUUUGGGUUAUUUGGAAUACUCGCAACAAAAAAAUUUUUGAACCUCACAAAUUAGUCUCAAAUCCAGUGAAGUGGUGUAUAGACCUGGCUGUCGAAUUCACGACUCUAGGCCCACAAUCUCAAUCCAUUCCCUAUAAGAAAUCCCAAGUGCUGGUAAGAUGGAUUCCUCCACCUUGUGGAUGGAUUAAACUCAACUCUGACGGCUCUGCCCUUAAUAAUCCCGGGAUUGCAGGUGCUGGGGGGAUCUUUCGUGACUCCUCUGGCUGUUGGAUUAAGGGUUACAGCAGAAACUUAGGCAUUGCGUCUAACAUCCUAGCUGAACUAUGGGGAGUUAGAGAUGGACUCCAACUGGCUAUUGCACUAAAAAUCCCCUGCUUAGAAGUUGAAGUUGAUUGUGCUGAUAUGAUUUCUCUCCUUAAUUCUACUGUGAAUCCUGAUCAUCUUUUCCAUCCAAUUAUCAUGGACUGCAGAUGCCUGCUUUCGCAGCUCCAGCAUGUUAAACUCAGGCAUGUCUACCGUGAGGCCAACAGAUGUGCAGAUGUCUUAGCGAAAUUGGGCAGCAAGCUGGAUCAAAAUUUUAUGAUUUUUGAAUCAUGUCCUCGAGAACUCCUUUUUGCUUUUGAUGAGGACACCAGGGGCAUCUGUUAUCCCCGUAGCAUUAGGACAGUUCUGUAAUAGCCAGGGGAACUUUUGAUUGCUUUUAUUUAUAUUACGCCGUUUUCACCAAAAAAAAAAAAGGUAGGAGGCCUGCAGGAUUCUUUUUUAAUUCUAGGCUAAACAGCACAGAGCUGCUGUUUAGUAGGUUCUGUCUAUGUUCUUACCUUAAUUUAUACUAAAUAUACUUCUUGUUCUAGAUUUGAGGUGAUGAUCAAAAGAAAAUUAUUCCAGACAGCUUUAUGAUACUUCAACUUUGAACAGACAAAAAGGUUUGGUGAAACAACCCCUUUUAAUUUAUCUCAUUAGCUAGUCUAGAUAUCAUUUGCUUAGUUUUUCUCAAUCAUUAACAUAAGAAAUUCAUUGCACUUAAUCAUACAACGCAAAAACUGAAAUUUAAGUCAUUCAAGAACACGUGGAAAUUGAACGUUUCAUUGACUAAUGAGCAAGGAAUAAAUAUCUUUCAACCCAAUUGACGCAAGUGCAAUAACAAUAAUAAUUCAGUUGCUACACCUUGGAAAGGGUUUUCUUAUUUAUUGAGGACAGUCACUUUAACUUUAGUUCAUUUUUUCAUUUGAAGAAUAUAUUGUCAAAAAUGUCUGGUUUUAUCAUAAGUAACAGAAGUCCUAGAUAGUGGAAACAAUAAACUGAGAUCAUUGAAGUGUGGGAGAUUAUUAAAAAAAAAAAAACCAUAUUUUUCCGGUCAAUGAAACUAAAACGUGCUGCUACAUACACGGAAGCUACAUGGGACUAGGCCUGUAUUUCGGCAUUCUUAGCGGCAGAGCACACUUCUUCAUGGAAAAAGUAUAGAAUGAAAAUUUGAUACUCAGAAACAAAUUUAUUAUGCAAAGUUUCAUAAAUGUUCGAUCAAUUUGACCACCAUUUUGAUUGUAGUCCUACCUAGUGAACUUAAUGUGCUCAUAAACGUUCUCAGAUCUUCAUCACAUGUUAUCCAUAUCCAAUCGUUAUCUUCAUCCUGAUACUCAAUUUUAAAACUUCCCAUGGCCAGAUUCAGUCGCUGUGCUACCUUCUCCUCCAAAUCGAUUUUACGGGCAGAAAAUGGAAGUCUGAACUUUAUCAUGCACCCUUGAUAUUCUGCCUUCACCCACAUGCCAUUAUCAUCUUCUAGCCUUGUUGCACCUGAUUGGCGGUGUUCAUGAGUAUCCUUCCCUGCUUUACGAGGGGGCCAUCUGUGAAUACCAUAUUCCCUACAUAUACGUUUCAAUGUGGAUUGACUAACUGUAGAUUUCAGAAAGGAAAACGUCAGUUAAGGAAAAAGCCUUUACAACAUGUAAACUAGAUCUUUCCAAACAGAUCCAGAUCAAAUCACAAUGGAUUAAGCAACAUUUGAAUUCAAUUCUGAGCUAGAGAAGUGCUAUAGUUAAGGAUUACCUCCAAUAUUUUUUGCAGCAUCUCCAAGUCUCCUCGUAGAAUUUUGUUCAAGAACCUCACGAGUAAUUCCAAGGUCACUUUUUAAAGUACAUCUAGGCUUUUGCAUUUUCAAAUUAGUCACUUCAUUGUCCCUCUGUUCUAUUCUAGCACCAUCUCUUUGAGGAUCUUCCGCAAUUGGUUCAUCAUGUGCUAUGCUGACCAUGUUUUGCACAACCUCCUGUGUUGAAGAUCUAACAACUCCAUUUCUCUUUUCAUAAAUACCAUUCAUAGAAUUGUGCGCAACAUCAAUUCCUGCAAGAUUUAAUUCUUGAUAUGAUAUGUUGACAAAGCCCUGCACAUGCUCUAGUCUAAGUGGAGAUCCAACAAUCCCACCCUGCUGUGCAUGGACACCAUUUAUACAAGCAUUUGCAUUAUCAACUAGCUGAGAUGAGAAAUCAACAGGCAUCAUUCCUUUUGCAAGCCGGGGUGUAGAUCCAACACUUCCAUUCUGCUGCUCAUGGAUACCAUUCAUAGAACCAUUUGCAGGAUCAACUUGUUGACAUGAGAGAUCAAGUUGCAUCAUUCCUUCUGCUCCUUGUACUUCUCCAAGCCUAGGUGUAGAUUCGAUACUAGUAGCACUGCAGAUUUCAAAAGAAUCAAAUUCAUCCUCUGGAGAGACCUUUAUAACCUCAACAGUCAAUUUCUGCCCCAAUUCUUGUCCUGAAGGGAUCUUAAAAGAACUUCUGAGGUAUUUUUUCAAUUUCUCCAUUAUGCUGUUCAGCAUUAUCCUACAAUCCCCAGAGUCUUUUUCAUUUGUAGGUAAAAAGAACUCCAAUACGUAAAUGCAAUUGUUCGAGCAAGAGCUCUGCAAACAAACUGCAAAACAGGCAGAGGUCUUCAAGUAUCGUGCAAUGGGUGCUAACGGGUUGUCUGUUAUGCUUAAUUGUCUGACAUCCCUACAAAAGCAUGCACUUUUGGAUGAGAAUGCUUUUCCAACUACCCCUUGUCCCUUCCAAAUAAAUUCUGUGGCACCAUGAAGACACAGUAUUUCUCCAAAAGCAGUCCAAAUUCCAUAUAUGUUCCUCACCUUAACCAAUGCUUUGUCAAUUAUAGCAAUUUCUCCACGUUGACCUGUAGAGGAAUGGCUUAAAAAUAUUAGCAUGGAAUGAAUAGCCUAAAGCUUCAGCCAAGAUUAUGCAGUAUAAAAGAAGGGAAAAAAACACUUAGAGGUACUCACAUGAAUUUACUUUCGCGAGGAGGCUUACACAAGUAGUUGUCAGAUUCAACUCCCGUGGUAGAUUCUGCAAACACAUUAUCCAUGAGCCAUAAAUAAAUUAAAUUGUUAUUUACAAGUUUCAAAGUGUUUGUUUCGGCAUUUAAAAGCUGUUUGACAACAACAGAUUUGCAACCCCAAAAAAAAAAAAAGAAUAAGCUCUUUGAAUGCGUAGUCAACUAAUUUUGGUAUAGAAGUUCCGAAAAGCCAAAACCUCCUUCAAACGCCAUAGAUUUUUUUAGAAUCAACAUCUUUCGGUUAAAAAAUAACUUAAAAAGAAAAGAUUAAUAUGAAGGUGAGAGUCACCAUAGUUUUUGCAGUUAUAAGCAGUUAAAAAAUUGGUUAUUGAUACAUUGAAAAGAGACCUCUCAUUAGAUUAAUUUAUAAAAGCAUCUCUCCUACCACCUAACAAUUGGAAACCCGUGACCUCUAGAAACCACUAUUUAUCCCCAAAUUUGUAAAGGACAUGGAGACAUACAAAAUUCAUGCACUAUUCAUGCAUCCCCUAUUCUAAGUUAGAUUUAUCACGAAAUUCUUAUUAAGUGCCAUGCUACCACAAAUCUUGCACUAUAUAACACCUAGUUCAAAUAAUAAAUUAAUUAAUUAUCUUUACAUUAGUCAUCACAAACGAAUUAUUUAUGACCUGGGAUCCGUCCUCUAAGCUCAUCUUUAUAUAUAUAUAUAUAUAUAUAUAUAUAUAAGGGAGGGAGUCUGCACCCAUUUCAUAUAUAUUAUCUAAUUUAUUGAUAAAAAUUAUACUAAUAAUUAUAUAACUCAUAAAUGAUUAACAACACCACCCCCAGGUCCUUGUCAGCAAUAGGAAAGAAGUAAUUAAGCAACUUAAAAAGAGAAAUGUCGAACCUCAAGCUUCUCCAGAACCCGACGUCGAGGUAAUCUGUAAAAAUCAGUUGCUGAUACAAUUUCCAGUACACCAAUGGGGAGGUGCUGAGUAGGAUGAUGAUAGAUUGGCAACGCCCAGUAUUGCUUAACACGAUCGACCGCAUAAUCACGUUGAGGAUACUCUCUAAUAGUGUAACCAGCCACAUAAGGUGCAUAUUCAGGCAACCCACUGCGGAACACCCGACCAGGGGGACCAAUCUCAUGAUCAUCAUCAUCUUCAUCGACGGGUAUAAGGUACUCCAAACAGUGCUUCCUAUAUUCACAUAGUUGCUCGACGAUUGAACCAUCGAAGCAGUAGUAAUGGAGAGCAAAAGGCUGGUCACAAGUUGUCAAAUACGUUUUGUCCCCAAUCUUCACUAAACCCCAAAAUUGAACUAGACACCGCAACCACGAUAUUGCUUCGAUAACAAGUGGUAGAAACCAUUUGAUGUGGUCCUUAAUCACGGCACCGUUAGCAGCUGCAAUAGGAAAAUCAUAUAUAAAAAAUAUAUGAACUGUUUGUUUCAUUUAUUUAUUUAUUAAUUGCAGAGUACUCUGC
RNAcentral lists this long non-coding RNA (39408 nucleotides) under Coffea arabica (coffee). RNAcentral describes it as "long non-coding RNA (CARA_LNC004295)". The record is from RNAcentral. Lineage: Eukaryota; Viridiplantae; Streptophyta; Magnoliopsida; Gentianales; Rubiaceae.